UACGAAGGGGGCUAGCGUUGCUCGGAAUCACUGGGCGUAAAGCGCCCGUAGGCGGAUUGUUAAGUCAGGGGUGAAAUCCUGGAGCUCAACUCCAGAACUGCCUUUGAUACUGGCGAUCUUGAGUUCGGGAGAGGUGAGUGGAACUGCGAGUGUAGAGGUGAAAUUCGUAGAUAUUCGCAAGAACACCAGUGGUGAAGGCGGCGCACUGGCCCGAUACUGACGCUGAGGUGCGAAAGCGUGGGGAGCAAACAGG
Molecule: ribosomal RNA, 253 nt
Filed under: uncultured bacterium
Lineage: Bacteria
Description: partial 16S ribosomal RNA
Rfam family: Bacterial small subunit ribosomal RNA
Source: RNAcentral